CAUUUGUUCUGACAAAAUUAUUUUCAUUAUUUUAAGCAUUUAAAAGUUCAAUCCUUCAGAAAUUUAUUUAAAUUUGCCUGCAAUUUUAACAUUGUGUUUGCCCAUUUUUAAGUUUCUUUGAACUUAAACUAACAUAUCAACUAACAUACUAACAUUAACUAGCAUUAACUAACAUACAUAUGAACAUUUAGAUAGUCGAAGUUGCCAAUAUAGCUGUCAAUAUCAUUCCAAACCCAAAGCCACACAAUGCAGGUUCUAAUAUACCUUUGGGAUCUCUUGAUGAAAAUACUUUGCAUUUCACAGAAACAAUUUUGAUUACUCAGCUUAUUUAAUUGAUUAAUUAUCUGUUUAAUUGAUUACCGAUAGCUUGUUUAUUUGCAUAUGAUAUAGUUUCUUAAUUAAACAUAGUUUUUUGCUCCUCCGAGGAUUGUCAACAAAAUUGUUGUAGAUAAGAGAACACAAAUUAUCAAAAUCCUUAUAUAGUAUUUUAAGAAUUGACUGUUCUCUGAGAAAGACUUGUCAUUGUAUAUAACCUCUCCAUUAUGUUAUGUUCAUCAGGUGGUUAGCAUCUCCACAUUAAAACUCAAUCUGUGUUGGGAAGUGCCUAUCUUGGUCUUCAAGUAUUUCAAAGGUAAAAUAAGACCAGUGAAUGAAAGUAAACAAUUUCAGAGGAUAAUUUCACUUCAAGCAUUAUGAUGUUGAAAUUUGUGAGACAUCUUACAGAAUUUAUCCGUCACAAAGCACGUGCCUAGAAUUAACUUCUCAAACAGUGGGUUAUUUGAAGACGGUUAGAAAAUUGUUCCGGAUGGUAAUGAGGUGGGUAUGGUAAGUUUGUGAGGAAGUGAAGAGAAUGUGGUAAAAGGAUCAGUGAAGAAUAAAACUGUGCUCUUUAUUGUUGCA
RNAcentral lists this long non-coding RNA (900 nucleotides) under Anser cygnoides (Swan goose). Its description in RNAcentral is "lncRNA (ENSACDG00005012020.1)". Lineage: Eukaryota; Metazoa; Chordata; Aves; Anseriformes; Anatidae. The record is from RNAcentral.